CCUACGGGAGGCAGCAGUAGGGAAUAUUGGUCAAUGGGCGAAAGCCUGAACCAGCCAUGCCGCGUGCAGGAUGAAGGCCCUAGGGUUGUAAACUGCUUUUGUAUGGGAAUAGGUACCAUAAGAAUAAGCACCGGCUAACUCCGUGCCAGCAGCCGCGGUAAUACGGAGGGUGCAAGCGUUAUCCGGAUUUACUGGGUUUAAAGGGUGCGUAGGCGGCUUUUUAAGUCAGUGGUGAAAGCCUAGUGCUCAACAUUAGAACAGCCAUUGAAACUAAUAAGCUUGAGUCAAGGAGAGGUAAGCAGAAUUUAUGGUGUAGCAGUGAAAUGCUUAGAUAUCAUAAGGAAUACCAAUAGCGAAGGCAGCUUACUGGCCUUGACUGACGCUGAGGCACGAAAGCGUGGGGAGCAAACAGGAUUAGAUACCCUUGUAGUC
RNAcentral lists this ribosomal RNA (432 nucleotides) under uncultured bacterium. RNAcentral's name for it is "partial 16S ribosomal RNA". It matches the Rfam family "Bacterial small subunit ribosomal RNA", at positions 338 to 795 of the family's 1533-position model. The record is from RNAcentral.